Molecule: ribosomal RNA, 492 nt
Filed under: uncultured bacterium
Lineage: Bacteria
Description: partial 16S ribosomal RNA
Rfam family: Bacterial small subunit ribosomal RNA
Source: RNAcentral
AGUGAACGCUGGCGGUAGGCCUAACACAUGCAAGUCGAACGGCAGCACAGUAAGAGCUUGCUCUUACGGGUGGCGGGUGGCGGACGGGUGAGGAAUACAUCGGAAUCUACUUUUUCGUGGGGGAUAACGUAGGGAAACUUACGCUAAUACCGCACACGACCUACGGGUGAAAGCAGGGGAUCUUCGGACCUUGCGCGAUUGAAUGAGCCGAUGUCGGAUUAGCUAGUUGGCGGGGUAAAGGCCCACCAAGGCGACGAUCCGUAGCUGGUCUGAGAGGAUGAUCAGCCACACUGGAACUGAGACACGGUCCAGACUCCUACGGGAGGCAGCAGUGGGGAAUAUUGGACAAUGGGCGCAAGCCUGAUCCAGCCAUACCGCGUGGGUGAAGAAGGCCUUCGGGUUGUAAAGCCCUUUUGUUGGGAAAGAAAAGCAGCAGGUUAAUACCCCGCUGUUCUGACGGUACCCAAAGAAUAAGCACCGGCUAACUUCGUG